This 1479-nucleotide long non-coding RNA is filed under the name Homo sapiens (human). RNAcentral describes it as "HSALNT0235391". Lineage: Eukaryota; Metazoa; Chordata; Mammalia; Primates; Hominidae. The record is from RNAcentral.
GCCACAGACCCGAGGGGAGGGAAUGGCAGCAACCCGGUCGCCACCCUGAUUUUGUACUGCAGGUGCAAUUUUAAAACUGAUUUUUUAAUUUAAAAAAGCAAAGAUGAAACAAAAAUACUUAUAGGAAAAUUCAAACAUACAGGUAACAGAAAAGAAGGUGAAAAUAAAAUAAGACGCAGCUAAUGAUACCUCUCAAAGAAUUGUAUGAUAAGGAAAUGAGAACAUGCAGUCACUCAACAAACAAAGGGAGGGAUGGAGACCCAGAAGACAGGUGCCAACACUCGACCCUCUGUGCUGGUGCCAGUCCAGGGGACGGGUGAACAGACCCGGAAGACAGGUGCCAACACUCUGACCCUCUGUGCCGGUGCCGGUCCAGGGGACGGGUGAACAGAUCCGGAAGACAGGUGCCAACACUCUGACCCUCUGUGCCGGUGCCGAUCCAGGGGAGGGGUGAACAGAUCCGGAAGACAGGUGCCAACACUCUGACCCUCUGUGGCGGUGCCGGUCCAGGGGAGGGGUGAACAGAUCCGGAAGACAGGUGCCAACACUCUGACCCUCUGUGCCGGUGCCGGUCCAGGGGAGGGGUGAACAGAUCCGGAAGACAGGUGCCAACACUCUGACCCUCUGUGGCGGUGCCGGUCCAGGGGACGGGUGAACAGAUCCGGAAGACAGGUGCCAACACUCUGACCCUCUGUGGCGGUGCCGGUCCAGGGGACGGGUGAACAGAUCCGGAAGACAGGUGCCAACACUCUGACCCUCUGUGGCGGUGCCGGUCCAGGGGACGGGUGAACAGAUCCGGAAGACAGGUGCCAACACUCUGACCCUCUGUGGCGGUGCCGGUCCAGGGGACGGGUGAACAGAUCCGGAAGACAGGUGCCAACACUCCUGACCCUCUGUGGCGGUGCCGGUCCAGGGGACGGGUGAACUGACCCGGAAGACAGGUGCCAACACUCCUGACCCUCUGUGGCGGUGCCGGUCCGGGGGAGGGGUGAACAGAUCCGGAAGACAGGUGCCAACACUCUGACCCUCUGUGCCGGUGCCGGUCCAGGGGACGGGUGAACUGACCCGGAAGACAGGUGCCAACACUCUGACCCUCUGUGGCGGUGCCGGUCCAGGGGACGGGUGAACUGACCCGGAAGACAGGUGCCAACACUCUGACCCUCUGUGGCGGUGCCGGUCCAGGGGACGGGUGAACAGACCUGGAAGACAGGUGCCAACACUCUGACCCUCUGUGGCGGUGCCGGUCCAGGGGAGGGGUGAACAGACCGAUGUGGUUCCUGCCCUGGAGAACAGGGAAACGCAGAACAAGCAGAGACAGAUCCAGAUAAAGAGAGGUGAAGAGAGACGGGAGAGGAGGAGAGGGGGCCAGUCAUGAGGAAGAGAAGCAGGGAAGCCGUGUGACUUCGAGAGUGGCGGGGGUUUUCGUUCCUUCGUUUUCUUUUCUUUUUUUUCAGACAGAAUCUCUGUCACCCACGCUGG